UACGAGGGGGGCGAGCGUUGUUCGGAAUUAUUGGGCGUAAAGGGCGCGUAGGCGGUGCGGUAAGUCACCUGUGAAACCCCCGGGCUCAACUCGGGGCCUGCAGGCGAAACUGCCGUGCUGGAGUGCGGAAGAGGUGGGUGGAAUUCCCGGUGUAGCGGUGAAAUGCGUAGAUAUCAUUUGGAACGCCAACGGAGAAAUCAGGUAGCUGGGGGUGUGCUGACGCUGAGACACGAAAGCCAGGGGAGCGAACGGG
Molecule: ribosomal RNA, 253 nt
Filed under: uncultured bacterium
Lineage: Bacteria
Description: partial 16S ribosomal RNA
Rfam family: Bacterial small subunit ribosomal RNA
Source: RNAcentral